RNAcentral lists this ribosomal RNA (433 nucleotides) under uncultured bacterium. Its description in RNAcentral is "partial 16S ribosomal RNA". It matches the Rfam family "Bacterial small subunit ribosomal RNA", at positions 29 to 507 of the family's 1533-position model. The record is from RNAcentral.
AACGAACGCUGGCGGCAUGCCUAACACAUGCAAGUCGAACGAGACCUUCGGGUCUAGUGGCGCACGGGUGCGUCACGCGUGGGAACCUGCCCUUAGGUUCGGAAUAACUCCCCGACAGGGGUGCUAAUACCGGAUAAUGUCUUCUGACCAAAGAUUUAUCGACUUUGGAUGGGCCCGCGUUGGAUUAGCUAGUUGGUAGGGUAAAAGCCUACUACGGCGACGAUCCAUGACUGGUCUGAGAGGAUGAUCAGCCACACUGGGACUAAGACACGGCCCGGACUCCUACGGGAGGCAGCAGUGGGGAAUAGUGGACAAUGGGGGAAAGCCUGAUCCAGCAAUGCCGGGUGAGUGAUGAAGGCCUUAGGGUUGUAAAGCUCUUUUACCCGGGAUGAUAAUGACAGUACCGGGAGAAUAAGCUCCGGCUAACUACGUG